AACGAACGCUGGCGGCAUGCCUAACACAUGCAAGUCGAACGAGACCUUCGGGUCUAGUGGCGCACGGGUGCGUAACGCGUGGGAACAUGCACUUAGGCUCGGAAUAACUCCCCGAAAGGGGUGCUAAUACCGGAUUAUGUCUCCGGACCAACGUUUUAUCGCCUUGGGAUGGGCCCGCGUUGGAUUAGCUAGGUGGUAGGGUAAAAGCCUACCAAGGCGACGAUCCAUAGCUGGUCUGGAAGGAUGGUCAGCCACACUGGGAGUGGGACACGGCCCAGACUUCGAAGGAGGGAGGAAUGGGGGAUACUGGACAGUGGGGUGAGGGCAGAUCCAGCUAGGCCUGUAGAGUGAUGAAGGCCGUAGGGUUGUAAAGCUCGUUUACCCGGGAUGAUAAUGACAGUACCGGGAGAAUAAGCUCCGGCUAACUCCGUG
This 432-nucleotide ribosomal RNA is filed under the name uncultured bacterium. Its description in RNAcentral is "partial 16S ribosomal RNA". It matches the Rfam family "Bacterial small subunit ribosomal RNA", at positions 29 to 507 of the family's 1533-position model. The record is from RNAcentral.